CGCGUAGGCGGUCGCGUAUGUCUGCUGUGAAAGCACACGGCUUAACCGUGUGAAGUCGGUAGAAACUGCGAGACUUGAGGCUGGGAGAGGUUGGUGGAAUUCCCUGUGUAGCGGUGAAAUGCGUAGAUAUAGGGGAGAACACUCGUGGCGAAGGCGGCCAGCUGGACCAGCCCUGACGCUGAGGCGCGACAGCGUGGGGAGCAAACAGGAUUAGAUACCCUGGUAGUCCACGCCGUAAACGAUGGGCACUAGGUGUUGGCGGUACUGAUUCCGUCGGCGCCGGCGUUAACGCAGUAAGUGCCCCGCCUGGGGAGUACGGUCGCAAGGCUGAA
RNAcentral lists this ribosomal RNA (332 nucleotides) under uncultured Alteromonas sp. RNAcentral describes it as "bacterial SSU rRNA". It matches the Rfam family "Bacterial small subunit ribosomal RNA", at positions 568 to 898 of the family's 1533-position model. The record is from RNAcentral. Lineage: Bacteria; Pseudomonadati; Pseudomonadota; Gammaproteobacteria; Alteromonadales; Alteromonadaceae.